RNAcentral lists this unclassified non-coding RNA (221 nucleotides) under Hevea brasiliensis (rubber tree). Lineage: Eukaryota; Viridiplantae; Streptophyta; Magnoliopsida; Malpighiales; Euphorbiaceae. The record is from RNAcentral.
UUUGCCAAGGUUAAUUACGCAACAAGCCCUUGAGACGGUACAAAAUUAAAUAGGAAGCCGAUUUAAUUAAUUGCACACAGAAUAUUGCAACCGUCCAAUAAUAAAAAUUUGUCAAAGAAAAGAGUCAGGCAAAACAUUCGCAUUGAAGAUAUGCGAUUUAUAGCGACAAGCAGCUUUGAAGGGCCAUCAUCCAGAGACAGAAAAUUAUAUUGAUUACUAUA